Molecule: unclassified non-coding RNA, 3041 nt
Filed under: Leishmania donovani
Lineage: Eukaryota; Euglenozoa; Kinetoplastea; Trypanosomatida; Trypanosomatidae
Description: gene:LdHU3.32.2330(CDS-product:hypothetical_prote in_conserved)
Source: RNAcentral
CGCAAUGAAUGCAUCAUUCGUUGGACGUCGAGCUCACUUUCUUACGAAUUCACGCACGCACAGAAGGACGGGAGCGCGCCUCUGCCUUUCUGUGUGCUAGCGCACUGCAUCCGUCACCGAGCGACCCGUUAAGUAGAUUCGGGUCUCUGCGCACUCCUCUUCUGCCCUUGGACCAGUUACACCCAUGCAGCGUCCCACCGCAGCUAGAUGUAGCGACAGGCGAGAGUCGUCUGCUGCCAGCCGCAAACUCGUGAAGAAGCCCCACAGCCUGAUGGACGAGCUGCCUCCUCGUCCACCUAGCCCGUACAAGUGGAAGCAGCACCGGCAACAUGACGGCCACCACAUCUCCAUCACCGCGUCCUUCAUGCGCGGGCGGCGGAACAUGCGAGCAGGAGCUGCCGCCAUUUCUGCCGUCGCGGCAUCUCCGUUCCCUUUGGACGGUGCGACGAGAGCAGCCAAGUCCAGUCCUGCCUUUCCAAUGCGCGCGCUAGUCGUUGCAGGCACACACGACAGCGAUGCUGCGGAGGGCAAUGGCGACGACGAGGCUAUCUUCGAACUUUUCUUUCGCGAGGCGCAGUUCCACUAUCACAUCUCCGCAGAGGAGAACAUGCGUAACCACCUUCUCGCCGGCGAGGAGGUUGCUUUCACAAACCUGAUCAUUGAGGCCUUGCAGGCGCGCGCCGAGCUGCUAGCUGGAGACGAGGCAGCAGAGCUGGUGAUCAGGGACGCACAGAAGCGGGCAGAGGAGCGGCAAGCCAUGAUGAAGGGGAUCGAGAAAAAUGUGGCCCUUCGGCUGCACGACGAGCGCAUGGCACAGUUGUUGGCUAUCGAGUUUGAGGCGCUGCUCCCGGCACACGCUGCGGGCUGCGAGCGCAUCCUUCGUGAGCAGGCCGCCGACCUUGGCGAAGUGUUUCGCUGGCACAAAGAGAACCGCCCUCUCGGGGCCGGGUGCUUCAUCAAAUCCCCAGGGGAGGAUUCUCGCCUCACGGACGCCCGCCGCGGUACCGGUGCGGCAAAGUUUCUAGGGAGCAGAUUAGCACUGGCAAAAGGCUCUCAUCGUGCCUCGUGUGCGCGCAGCUCCCGAGCCUACUUGGCCCAGUUGCUACAGAAAAGUACGUCGAGCUGCUGUACCGCCGCUGCGCUUGGCCCCCUGGCGAUCAACACGGGCGAGGACCCGGCGCCGCUGUUGGAUGGGACGCUGCCGGUGACGGAUGAGGCUCUCUUUCAGGAGGAGGGGCGGGCGCGCCUGCAGGCAGCGAAGGAUCGGCGCUACGUAGAGCUUCGAGGGCUGCGCGCUGUGAUCGAUGUUCAGGAGGCGGCGGCUGCGGCGCGCGAGAAUGUGCUGGAGGAGGAGGCGAUGUGCCGGAUGCAAAUCACGCGCCUCGAAGUGGACGGUAUGUACGCUGCCCAGGAGGCGACUCGGGAGCGGAAGAAGCGUGAGGCUAGCGCGGACGCUGCUACGGCGCGCCGUGCAGCACAGAAGAAAGAAGUCAAGGAGCGCCUGCUGCGUCAGCGCGCGCGCCCGCUACCUGAGCCAGACGACGGCAUGGGUGGUGACCCGUGCGUGCAGCCGCACGUUUCGAGAAAGAGCACCGAGGAGGGUGCGCAUCCUCCCAAAGACCAGGCAGCGAUUGCGGAGGCAGGCGCGCUAGAGCAGCCGAGUCCGCAGAGCUCCUCCUCCACCGUACCGGACAACUUCUCUCCGCUGAGCGGGGCGUUGGCGGAGGGUGCAAGCACGACGGCAGAAGCCAACGCCGAUGAAGUUGAUGACCUGGCGUACCUGCGUUUGGUCACAGGCGAGAUUACAGAUCCGGAAGCGUGCAAGCAACUCAGCGCGCUGGCGAAACGUGAAGUCGACGAGGCAAUGCAGAACGCAGAGUAGGGAGGAUUUAGGUCUUUGUGGAUGUCGCUGAAGACUAGGCCGUCGAAAGGGGCUUACAAACCUGCGGGCGGGUGUGUCUGUCUCUGUCUGACGUGCGCGAGCUCUGACGCACAUUUGAAGACAUAACUGCACAAUCACGCGCACAUUUUCCGAGCCUCCUUUGGAACUUGCUGCUCACCUUUCUGUUGUGUCUCUUUUCUUGUGUGUGUGUGUGUGUGUGUGAGGACUGAAGCAUCGAUGAUGUAUGUGAAGACUCAAGUCCUCUUUCAGCCUCUUUGUUGCCCUCCCCCACUCCUCUUCCCCUUACCCCACAACCACCACCUAACUCACGGUUAUCUCGAGCCUUGCCAUCGGCGUCCUCCUGCACUUUGAACGGCGUGUUAGGAAUUGCCGAGAGCAACGGCCACCCCGCCUUCGCUUCUUGUUUUCUCUUGCCAUCACGUGCACAUGUAGACUAUUAUGCCACCGCACCAAACUCGUGACGCAGCUGCUGCUUCUUGUUUGUUUCGCUGUGCGCAUCUUUUUCCGGGUCUUUUAUUUAUAUUUCUGUUUCGUUCGUCUCCUUCCCCGCCCCUCCCCUCGAUCUGUUUACCGCCGCUGUGAGUCAUUCCUGCAGUGUGCCGCGCUCUCGAUUUUUUUUUUCGCUGUAUCUUCGUUUUGUAUGCCUUAUGUUGAUGUUGGUGUCUCGUGUUUGCGGCAUCCUCCUCCGCACUCCCACCUUCUGUUUCGUGGUGGUGGUAGGUGGCUUUGCCUUAUGGACCUCACCUCUGGUGACCCUCGUUCGUCCUCGAUAGGCUCUCGCUUAUGGCCACCCCGACCUCCAUCACCUCUCUUUCUUGCUCAGCGCACACCCCGCGUAUGUAUAUAUAUAUGCAUAGGCGCGCAUGUGUGUCUCCUGUGUCAGUCUGCCAGUUGUCCUUCUCAUUUGUCCAUGUACCCUUCGCCAUCUGAUGACGAAAGAGAGAGAGGGGGGUAUACGUGUAUGUACAUAUGCAUAUGUGUACGUAUGUGCGUAUGCACAUAUUCCUUCCAGCUCUCAAGUACCCUUCUCUGUCUCGUUGAUGUAUUUCUCCCCCGUCUUUGGAACGUGUGCAUCUCUGCCUUGUUGCCGGGCUGUGCUACGCAGGGCAGAAAAUGAGACAAAAGCGUCGCCCAGAUG